UACGAAGGGGGCUAGCGUUGCUCGGAGUCACUGGGCGUAAAGGGUGCGUAGGCGGGUCUUUAAGUCAGGGGUGAAAUCCUGGAGCUCAACUCCAGAACUGCCUUUGAUACUGAGGAUCUUGAGUACGGGAGAGGUGAGUGGAACUGCGAGUGUAGAGGUGAAAUUCGUAGAUAUUCGCAAGAACACCAGUGGCGAAGGCGGCUCACUGGCCCGUAACUGACGCUGAGGCACGAAAGCGUGGGGAGCAAACAGG
Molecule: ribosomal RNA, 253 nt
Filed under: uncultured bacterium
Lineage: Bacteria
Description: partial 16S ribosomal RNA
Rfam family: Bacterial small subunit ribosomal RNA
Source: RNAcentral